GGAUGAAGAACGCAGCGAAAUGCGAUACUUGGUGUGAAUUGCAGAAUCCCGUGAACCAUCGAGUCUUUGAACGCAAGUUGCGCCCGAAGCCACUAGGCCGAGGGCACGCCUGCCUGGGCGUCACACGCCGUUGCCCCCCCAUCUACUCCUUCGGGAUUGCGGGGGGGCGGAUGAUGGCCUCCCGUGCGCCUAGCCGCGCGGUUGGCAUAAAUACCAAGUCCUCGGCGACGCACGCCACGACAAUCGGUGGUUGCGAAACCUCGGUUGCCCGUCGUGUGCGUUCGUCGCGCAUCGAGGGCUCGAAAAAAUGCUCGGCUCCGGCUGGGCUUUCAACGCGACCCCAGGUCAGGCGGGGUUACCCGCUGAAUUUAAGCAUAUCAAUAAGCGGAGGA
Molecule: unclassified non-coding RNA, 392 nt
Filed under: soil metagenome
Description: partial contains 5.8S ribosomal RNA, internal transcribed spacer 2, and large subunit ribosomal RNA
Rfam family: 5.8S ribosomal RNA (bases 2-123)
Source: RNAcentral